Molecule: ribosomal RNA, 740 nt
Filed under: uncultured archaeon
Lineage: Archaea
Description: bacterial SSU rRNA
Rfam family: Archaeal small subunit ribosomal RNA
Source: RNAcentral
GUUAAAUGUUCUUAGUGAACAUAGCGAACUGCUCAGUAACACGUGGAUAACCUACCCUUAGGACCGGAAUAACCCCGGGAAACUGGGGAUAAUACCGGAUAAGCCAUAGACGCUGGAAUGCCCUAUGGUUCAAAGCUCCGGCGCCUAAGGAUGGAUCUGCGGUCUAUCAGGUUGUAGUGGGUGUAACGUACCUACUAGCCGACGACGGAUACGGGUUGUGAGAGCAAGAGCCCGGAGAUGGAUUCUGAGACACGAAUCCAGGCCCUACGGGGUGCAGCAGGCGCGAACACUUUACAAUGCGGGAAACCGCGAUAAGGGAACCCCGAGUGCCAGCAUCAAAUGUUGGCUGUCCAGAUGAUUAAAAAUCAUUUGUUAGCAAGGGCCGGGCAAGACCGGUGCCAGCCGCCGCGGUAACACCGGCGGCCCGAGUGGUAGCCGUUUUUAUUGGGUCUAAAGGGUCCGUAGCCGGUUUAAUCAGUCUUCUGGGAAAUCUGACAGCUCAACUGUUAGGCUUUCAGGGGAUACUGUUAGACUUGGGACCGGGAGAGGUAAGAGGUACUACAGGGGUAGGAGUGAAAUCUUGUAAUCCCUGUGGGACCACCAGUGGCGAAGGCGUCUUACCAGAACGGGUCCGACGGUGAGGGACGAAAGCUGGGGGCACGAACCGGAUUAGAUACCCGGGUAGUCCCAGCCGUAAACGAUGUUCGCUAGGUGUCAGGGACGGUGCGACCGUUUCUGGU